This 1448-nucleotide ribosomal RNA is filed under the name metagenome. RNAcentral's name for it is "bacterial SSU rRNA". It matches the Rfam family "Archaeal small subunit ribosomal RNA". The record is from RNAcentral.
GUUGAUCCCGCCGGAGACUACCACUAUCAGGAUUCGACUAAGCCAUGCGAGUCAUUGCGUAAGCAAGGCGUACUGCUCAGUAACACGUAGUUAACCUAACCUUUAGUGGAGGAUAACCUUGGGAAACUGAGGAUAAUACUCCAUAGGUGAUAAUGGCUGGAAUGCCUCUUCACCCAAAGUCGCAAGACGCUUAAGGAUGGGACUGCGGGAGAUUAGCCUGUUGUUAGUGUAAUUGACUAACAAAGCUAUAAUCUCUACGGGUCAUGAGAGCGAUAGCCCGGAGAUGCACUCUGAAACAUGAGUGCAGGCCCUACGGGGCGCAGCAGGCGCGAAACCUUUCCAAUGCACGAAAGUGUGAGAAGGGAAUCCUGAGUGAGUCCGCAUUAGCGGGUUCUUUUGUUGAGUCUAAAUAGCUCGGCGAAUAAGUGGUGGGUAAGACGGUUGCCAGCCGCCGCGGUAAUAACCGCGCCACGAGUGGUAGUCACGUUUAUUGGGCCUAAAGCGUCCGUAGCUGGCUUGAUGUGUCUUUGGUGAAAUCCAAUAGCAAACUAUUGGGCUUGCUGAAGAUACUAUCAGGCUUGGAGCCGGGAGAGGUUGAGGGUACUUCAUGGGUAGGGGUAAAAUCCUUUAAGCCAUGAAAGACCACCUGUGGCGAAAGCGCUCAACCAGAACGGGCUCGACAGUGAGGGACGAAAGCUUGGGGAGCGACCGGGAUUAGAUACCCCGUUAGUCCAAGCCGUUAACGAUGCCCGCUUGGUGUUACAGAUUCUUCGUGAAUCUGUAGUGCCGUAGCGAAGGUGUUAAGCGGGCCGCCUGGGGACUACGACCGCAAGGUUGAAACUUAAGGGAAUUGGCGGGGGAGCACUACCAGGGGUGGAUGCUGCGGUUUAAUUGGAUUCAACGCCAGAAAUCUGACCAGGGAAGACAGCAGAAUGAUGGUCAGCCUGAAGGGCUUACCUGACAAGCUGAGAAGUGCUGCAUGGCCGUCGUCAGUUCGUGCCGCGAGGUGUCCUGUUAAGUCAGGAAACGAACGAGACCUACGUCGUUAGUUGCUACUGGUUUCCACGGAAACCAGGCACUCUAGCGAGACUGCCCGCGCUAAGUGGGAGGAAGGAGUAGGCUACGGCAGGUCUGUAUGGCCUAAAUUUCCAUGGGUUACACGCGGCAUACAAUGCAUAGGACAAUGGGAUGCAAUGCCGUAAGGCAAAGCCAAUCUCCUAAACCUAUGCCCAGUUCGGAUCGAGGGCUGCAACUCGCCCUCGUGAAGCCGGAAUCCCUAGUAAGCGAAGGUCAUCAUCUUUCGCUGAAUACGUCCCUGCUCCUUGCACACACCGCCCGUCAAGCCAUCCGAGUGAGGUCUUGGUGAAGUUCGCGCUGAGCGAUUUGAAUCAAGGCUUUGCAAGGAGGGCUAAGUCGUAACAAGGUAGCCGUACGGGAACGUGCGGCUG